This is a long non-coding RNA of Ipomoea nil (Japanese morning glory), 101 nucleotides long. RefSeq lists it as uncharacterized. NCBI's taxonomy places the organism in Eukaryota, Viridiplantae, Streptophyta, Magnoliopsida, Solanales, Convolvulaceae. The transcript is spliced from 3 exons. The record is from RefSeq and is a predicted model, not a curated record.
CGUCCCAUUUUAUAAAGUAUUCGACCGGGUUUCACAACAGCUACCCAAUAUUCAGGGGAUCCUUUUCCCGAACCCAUACGUGUUUCCGCGGGUCGUAUAGU